This 70-nucleotide transfer RNA is filed under the name Megalops atlanticus (tarpon). RNAcentral's name for it is "tRNA-OTHER". Lineage: Eukaryota; Metazoa; Chordata; Actinopteri; Elopiformes; Megalopidae. The record is from RNAcentral.
GGCAGUGUAGCAUAGUGGUAAAGAGCAGGGCUUUCAACCAAAAGGUUGCCGGUUCGAUUCCCCACUGUGC